RNAcentral lists this small RNA (29 nucleotides) under Bombyx mori (domestic silkworm). RNAcentral describes it as "ovarian small RNA-16599". The record is from RNAcentral. Lineage: Eukaryota; Metazoa; Arthropoda; Insecta; Lepidoptera; Bombycidae.
GCCAGAAUAAAUCACAAAAGGGUCAGUGU